RNAcentral lists this ribosomal RNA (250 nucleotides) under uncultured bacterium. Its description in RNAcentral is "partial 16S ribosomal RNA". It matches the Rfam family "Bacterial small subunit ribosomal RNA", at positions 524 to 773 of the family's 1533-position model. The record is from RNAcentral.
UACGUAGGUGGCAAGCGUUGUCCGGAAUUACUGGGUGUAAAGGGCGUGUAGGCGGGGAGACAAGUCAGAUGUGAAAGCCCAUGGCUUAACUGUGGAACCGCAUCUGAAACUGUUUCUCUUGAGUACUGGAGAGGAAAGUGGAAUUCCAAGUGUAGCGGUGAAAUGCGUAGAGAUUUGGAGGAACACCAGUGGCGAAGGCGGCUUUCUGGACAGUAACUGACGCUGAGGCGCGAAAGCGUGGGGAGCAAAC